GAUGAACGCUGGCGGCGUGCCUAAUACAUGCAAGUCGAGCGAACAGACGCGGAGCUUGCUCCUCUGACGUUAGCGGCGGACGGGUGAGUAACACGUGGAUACCCUACCUAUAAGACUGGGAUAACUUCGGGAAACCGGAGCUAAUACCGGAUAACAUGUUGAACCGCAUGGUUCAACAGUGAAAGACGGUCUUGCUGUCACUUAUAGAUGGAUCCGCGCCGCAUUAGCUAGUUGGUAAGGUAACGGCUUACCAAGGCAACGAUGCGUAGCCGACGGCAGAGAGGGGUCGGCGACACUGGAACGGAGACGCGGUCAAGACGCCUACGAGAGGCAGCAGUAGGGAAUCUGCGGCAAUGGGGGAAAGCAUGACGGAGCGAGGCGGAGUGAGUGAUGAAGGCCUUCGGAUCGUAAAACUCUGUUAUGAGGGAAGAACAAAUGUGUAAGUAGCUAUGCCCGUCUUGACGGUAACUAAUCAGAAAGCAACGGCUAACUACGUG
Molecule: ribosomal RNA, 497 nt
Filed under: uncultured bacterium
Lineage: Bacteria
Description: partial 16S ribosomal RNA
Rfam family: Bacterial small subunit ribosomal RNA
Source: RNAcentral